CACGAUUGAACGACGACAAUCGAGUGCUCGAAGAAGCCUGAGUCAGAGUUUGUGCAAGUAUAGAAGGAUGGAGAGCAACCACAGGGACCAGCAGCCACCGGCAGGCUACCCGACGGCAGUGGGCACGGUGCCGGCGAGUGGCGACGGCUCGCCGUGCCGGGAAGAGACAAGGCAACGCGGCCGGAAAACUGGUUUCCUCGAUGCAUGUGUCGCCGCACUGUGCUGCUGCUGGCUGUGCGACCUGUGCUGCGUCUAGAUCGGACGGCGAAAACACGAGUUCAAUUGCUUAGGAGGCAAGUUUUGAUCAGCGCUUCCUUAUCAAGAGUGUCCAGAAUCCAUGAGUUAUAUCAUGUCGUUAUGUGGCUGGUUUGUAUCAUGUGUGUUUGUUGUGACUCAGCCCUUCUCUGUUUUUCUUCAUUUCGGAUUGGGGGGUGUAACCAUCCAUCAUCGCUAGUGAUGUACUGUAAUGCAAUGUUAAUGACUUUGUUUGCUCAA
Molecule: long non-coding RNA, 495 nt
Organism: Triticum aestivum (bread wheat)
Lineage: Eukaryota; Viridiplantae; Streptophyta; Magnoliopsida; Poales; Poaceae
Exons: 3
Source: RefSeq, a predicted model, not a curated record